GGGCUUGUACUGGUUUCGACGGGGAUCAUGCAGCUGGUGAAGCUAUCCGCAUGCGAUGCGUUAAAUGGCAAAAUUAAAAUUAAACGCUGAAGAUAAUUUAGCAUACGCAGCCUAAGUGCUGCUGUCAGCCUUAGUGCACUCACACAUUAAGAAUCUGGCAUCGACUAUGUGAGAAACGACAUACAUUAAGCUUUGCGUGUAUGGGCGUAUCAUGAAGCUACUGAAGCCACAAGGGUGCCUGUUUUCGUGUGGCGGAGGGAAUGUCAAAUAACCGGCUAUGAUAGUAGAAGAACAGGGAAUUGAUUUUCGGACAGGGGUUCGAUUCCCCUCAGGUCCAUUU
This 340-nucleotide transfer-messenger RNA is filed under the name Lachnospiraceae. RNAcentral describes it as "Ventrimonas sp900555625 Standard tmRNA". It matches the Rfam family "transfer-messenger RNA". Rfam says of the family: Bacterial tmRNA, also known as 10Sa RNA or SsrA, is named for its dual tRNA and mRNA-like properties. The record is from RNAcentral. RNAcentral also lists the same sequence under 1 other name. Lineage: Bacteria; Bacillati; Bacillota; Clostridia; Lachnospirales.